UCGGCAAUUCAAACACCCCAAGCUGGAGGACUUUUUUCCAAGAUGGCCUGUUGCCGAUAUCAUCCCACCAAGCAGAGACAUGUUUUCUGUCCCUGAUCAUAUGCUCCUUCCCCAAAUCAGCCACCAAGUGCUGGUUAAACGGAAGGUGGCUAAGAUCAGCAAGGCUGAAGAAAUCACCAGCCAAGUACUUGCUCUUUGAGAGCCUCUCCUCAUAAAUGUCCAACACCUUCCCCAGCUUUGCUUCGCUCUCUUGAAUGAUCUUGGGAUCUGAAGGAAAACCCAACGCUGAGGCAAGCAGAAUGUGAACGACUAACUUGUAGACUGGAGGGUGGAAUCUUUGUGCUUCAACCUCUAGCCAUUGUUCCACAAGCCCUCUUUCCUCAAUUGUCUUUCCCAGCAACUCAGUACCCUGGGACUUGAAUUUUUCUGCGUAGUAUCUCAUGAUUGCACGCGAUUCUGCACGUCAGAUUAGAAACCAGUGAACAAGUUUGUGUAUGUCAAACAAAACUCUGUAUUCUUGCUUCCCAAGCAUUCCAAUCGAAUAAUGUUAGGAGAUAAAUAAUGUAACAAAAUGCAUGUAAUGUUAAUUACUUUGGUCCCAAAUUAAAGACCAGAAAGCAGAAAAGGCAGAGCAUACCAUACAGGGUAUAGUCCCCAUCUUGAAUGACAGGAACUUGUCCAAAGGGCUACACAUUUAAAGACAAAGCAAUCCAAAGAUCAAUAUAUUUAUAGUUUCGAAAGAGAUUAUUAUGAGUAGACCAAUCACAAUUAACAAGUGACUUAAUAAUACUAGCUAAAGCUAACCUGUAAUUUGAGGAACUCAGGGUCCUUGUGCUCCCCCUUGAAGAGAUCAAUGGGGAUGAUCUCAAAGUCGAUCUCUUUCUCCACAAGGCAAGCCAGCACACGCUGUGGGGAAGCGUCGACGGAGCCAUACACCUUCACCACCAUUGUGAAUUAGAAGAGCCCGCAGUCUGCACAUUCCAGCUUUUGGUUCUAAGUGGUGUUUGGUUGGGGCAAUGAAAUUGAAUGGUAAUGUUAAUAGGAAAGAUAAUGAAAAUGGAAUUUUGGGAUAGAAAUCCUUAUUUCUAUAUUUGUCCAUAGUUGAUGCAUAUACUUUGUAGAUUGCAGAUUACACAAAUUUGGUUUUUUAAUUCACAUCACACCCCAAAUGAAAUGCAAUUACUCAUUACUGUUUUUCUUUUUCUUUUCAGUUUUCCCAAAAUUAAGAUUACAAUUUACAAACUUUCUUUCACACAUCAACUAUCCAGAAACUGUUUCUUCAUCAUAAUUCAUGACUUUAUGAAUGACAUAAAUAGAUAAUAGAGAAAGGUCAAUGAAUGAUUGGAGAUGAUAUAGCUUAUAAAUGUCAGGUCACUCUUCGAAAUGAUGGAUUGUUCCCUAGCUUAUACAUGACAAAAUAUGGAUCUUAUAGAGGUUGAAAUUUAGAUUCCUUUUGGGAGUGAAAAUUCUGGCGGGGAAAAGAGAGAGAGAGAGAGAGAGAGAGAGAGAGAGCAACCACAAUUGUAAUUCUGGGUAGAUUAUGGUUCACGUUUUAGAAGGAAGAUGGGUAAGACGCACAAAGGUGUUCGGAUCGGAAUGCAUGUGCCCUCAUGCCAUGCAUGCACUAAAGUGAGGUUAUGAAAUAGCAUGAAAACAAUGCGUUUUGCAUUCAUCAAACCAAAUAGCAUGAAAACAAUGUGUUUUGUAUGUACUAAACCAAAUAUUUUUCGAUGCUGAUUUAGUAUCUUGUGUGGGUAACUUGGUUGGGCAGAUCCACUAAUAUGAGGCCAAAGUUGAAAUCAGUGAUAUGUAUGUGCCUCUCAACUGUCCCCAAUUUCUUUUUCUUUACACAAGCAAUAGUCUAAAUUAGGGGGAGAGAGAGAGAGCGAUUGAACUCGGGUGUAAGGGGGUGAGCACACUACCAUGAUCAACUAGCCUAACCCACAUGUACAAUCUACAAUAUCUCUAUAUAAGCAAUUAUUGGGUUAUAACUCAUAGGAAUCAAUUGUAAAUUUGCUCAAUUUGUUGGAGAAAAAAAAGGGUCAUAAAUCGGUUGCAAAGUAGUAUGAUCUUUUUGGAGUUCAAUUCUUCUGUGUCCAACUUAUCUGUGCCCUCUCUGUUUCCUUCUUCGUUUUCUACCACCUGUCCUCACACAUAAUUGAUAGAAAAGAGAGUUGACGGGCUUAUCUAUUAGUUAUGUUGAGUACAACAGCAGAAAUCGAAAAUGGAGACAGGGAGGACCAUAUAAAUUGGACACAAGAGAACUGAACUCUAUUGGUGCAAAGACGGAAACCAAUUUCUAAAGUGAUGUUAUUGCUCGAAUGAAAUUGAAUGCUAAUGUCAAUGGGAAAGGUAAUGAGAAUGGAAUGUUGGAAUGGAAAUCCUUAUUUCUAUUUCUCCACAGUUGAUGCAUACGCUAUGUAAUAGAUGUGAGUAUGAAAGCAAAGCCAACUAAGAGUUAAUAAUGAUCUGAUCAUCUAACAUUCACGAAAGUCAUACAAAAGCAGUUAAAGCUAGGAAAGCUACAAAAACAAAACCAGCUCAAAAAGUCCAAAACCCCCGAACAAAAUGUGAAUUGCUUUGCUAGCUUUGUUUUCAACUAAAGUUCAUCUUUAGAAACUCCAAAAAGCACCCCUCCAAACCAAGAAAGACUUUCAUGAAAUGGGGAUAAUACUAUUUUGUUAUUCCUGUCUAAUAACACUAUGUCACGUGAAAACGCGUCAUAACACUUUCACACGGCAUAGCAUUAUUGGUCGGGGAGCAAAACAGUGAUAUGCCCAUUGCAACUAAGUUUUUCUCCUCUAAACCAUUCAUGAUGCGAACAAAUUUCACAUCCCAAAAUGGGUUUGCCCACUUCUCCUUUCUCAUUUGCUCUGAUCUACUUUUCUUCUUUUCUUCUUUUCCCUUUCCCUUUUCUAAUUCACAUCACGCUCCAAAUGAAAUGCAAUUACUCAAAUUUCUAUUACCAACGAAACUCCAAGCCCUACAGAAAAAAUGUGACAUUUAGGGCCCAUUUGAUAAUCAUUUCAAUUUUAGUUUUUAAUUUUCAUUUUUUGUGCUAGAGUACAGAGGAAAAAGAGGGAGAACGGAAUUGAGAAUGAGAGUGGAAAUAGGAUUGAGAGGGAAGAUGAGAGGGGAGGAUGUGAGGGAGAAGUAACAAAAGUGAAAACAAAAACUAAAAUUUGAAAUCUAUUUGAAAUUGUUCUCCCGUUCAAGUUUUUGUUUUCACUUUUGUUACUCCUCCCCUCCCAUCCAGAGGCGGAUGCACGUUGGCACAAGAGGGGUCCCCCUUGGAAGGCUGGAAAUUUGGGAAGGGACUCCAUGAAAGCCCCCUUGGACAGCUGCUGGAAGCCCCCUUGUACGCACACCAAGUGCUCGACGGAAGUCCCACAAGACGAGCUGGAGUUGCUGUGCUGAGCCUGCGCCUUGCGCGCAGCGCGCGCGGAUUCUAAUUUUUGUUAAAACCAGCCUUGCCAAACGACGUCGUUUGGUCAAGGCUCAGUCAAAUUUUUUUUUAAUUGACCUGGCCUCAAAACGACGUCGUUUUGGGCCUGUUUUAAAAAUUUAAAAAAAAAAAAAAACUGCACAAAACAGAACAGCAACACAUGCUUCGACAGAACAGAACCAAAGCCAUUUCCACAGCCCCUCUUCUCCCACCAUCUGAAACCCUAACCUCCCCAACCUCCCAAUCUUCGAAACUUUUACACUAAGCCCCCUUGGCCACAUAAUCCUGGAUCCGCCACUGCUCCCAUCCUUCCUUCUUAUCCUCUUCCCAAUCUCAUCCUCACUCCCAUUCUCACUCUCAUUUUCCUCUAUACUCUAGCACAAAAAAUGAAAACUAAAAACUAAAAUUGAAAUGGUUAUCAAACAGGCCCUUAGAAAAUAGACUUCUAUAGUGGAAUGGAAUUGAUCUUUCCCAACAAAUCAAUCGUAUUUCAGAAUAAAAACCCAUUCUUACACAUUAAUAAAACAUAAUCCAAGCAAAACCUCAACGUCCAGAACCAUUCAUUCAAGCAUCGGUUUAAUAUCAAAACUUGCAUCACAGAAUCAAAUGUAGGAAGGAAAAAAAAUUGAAGAAGCAGACCAAGAAAUAGCUCAAGUACCUCGUUCUUUCCUUCAAAGGUGAAGGCUUAACCCAAGACUUGGCAGAUGGGUCUGGCCGUCAGCGAGAGUGUGAAGAUGGAGUGAGAAGAUAGAUAAAAGAGAUAAAGGAGAGCGAGAAAGACAAAGCUUUUAACAUCGAACUUCGGUUUUUGGGUGAAGUUAAAUCAGAACAAAAGCUAGGACAAGCUAGCCCACAGGUUGCUUCUAGCUAAGCCACCAACUUUACUAAAAUCCAGCCCAAACCCAAAAAUGGACUGGCUUUAAAACCCCUCCCAAAUCCAGCUUGAGCAUUCAUAAUUCAAAAAUGAGGAACUUACUCAACCAAGCAGUUAACCAUAACAAGUUGUCAAGACAAAGCAAAAAAGGAAAGGUAAAGAAGUCUAUUGAUGCAGCAAUAAUACUUUAGUAAAUUUAGGUUUUACCCAUAAAAAAACUUUCACUUUUGGAAAAAGCCAAAGCUUUUUGAAAAAAGACAGAAUAACCUCUCAACUUUCAAACCAAAGACAUGCAAAUGUAAAGGAUUUCUUAAGAAAUCAAAAAAUAAAUAAGGGCAAUUUUGUCCAUUUUUGCUUGUUUUAAAAAUUUUCUCUCUCCUUUGGGCUUUUCCAAAGUCUCCCUAAUACUUUACCAUGUGCCAAGAGAGAAAGCAAAUGAUGAAGGACAUAGCACAUCAUUAUUCUUACAAGUAGUUUUGAUUAUUUAUUUUUGCCCAAGCCCAAGCCCAAGCCCAAGGUACAGAAAUUCAUACAUACUAACGUUCACAUGACAUGACUAAGCGAAAAACAUUGUAUGCACCGGCUGUAUGCAAAAAUACAUCUGCCCUAAAAUGGGGUACCAAACUCGAGGACCUUCUUCCAAGAUGGUCUGUUGCUAAUAUCAUUCCACCAAGCAGAGACAUGCUUUCUGUCCUUUAUCAGAUACUCCUUCCCCAAAAGAGUCACCAUAUACUGAGUAAAUGGAAGGUGGCUAAGAUCAGCAAGGCUGAAGAAAUCACCAGCUAAGUACUUGCUCUUUGACAGCCUCUCCUCAUAAAUGUCCAACACCUUCCCUAGCUUUUCUUCACUCUCUUGAAUGACCUUGGGAUCUGAAGGAAAACCCAAUGCUGAGGCAAACAAAAUGUGAAGGACUAAGUUGUUGAGUGGUGGGUGGAAGUUGUGUGCUUCAACCUCUAGCCAUUGCUCAACUAGCCCUCUUUCCUCAAUUGUCUUCCCUAGCAAAGCAGUCCCUUGAGACUUGUAUUUUUCGGCAUAGUACCUUAUGAUUGCGCGUGAUUCUGCGGAUUAAAGACAGUUUUAUCAAAGAACUUGUUAGAUCAUUAUGUUGAUGAUGCUGAUAAGAAACCAGUGAACACUAUUGUCAAAGAAAAAAAUUUCAAAACUUUCUUACUUCCCAAACAGUACAAUCCCAAUUUGAUGCUCUACAGAGAUUCAAAUGAUGAAUUGAAGCAAACCCACAAAAUGGUAUGCUAAAAGAUGAAGAAAAAUGAAAUGUAACGCUAACUUUGAUCCCAAAAUUAAAGAUUUAGCAUACCAUAUAAAGUAUAAUCCCCAUCUUGAAUGAGAGGAACUGUUCCAAAGGGCUACAUUUAAAGACAAAAGCAAUACAAAUUAAGAUCAACCGUCAUAUAUACAGAUGAUAAAUAUGAUUUCCAAAGAGAUGAUGAGCAGAAACAAUCACAAAAGAUUGAAUUAAUAGCAAAAGGUGACCUGCAAUUUGAGAAAUUCAGGGUGUUUGUGCUCUCCCUUGAAGAGAUCAAUGGGAAUGGUCUCAAAGUCGACCUCUUUCUCAACAAGACACACCAGCACACGCUUCGGGGAAGCAUAGGCAGCGCCAUACACCUUUACCACCAUUCUUACUGUUUCAGCGAGAAACCAAGUAUUUAGAUCUCGGUCUGCAGAGUACCCUAGAUUUUGGUUUCUUAGUUCUUAUAGUAGUUAAGGUGUGAUAUGCUCAUGCUUUAAGGUGUGAUAUGCUCAUGCCUAGUGGUCCAAUAAUUGCCCUCUGCACUCCAAAACAGAUAAACUCAUAAGAUUUUUUGCGCACUCAGAUUUUUUGUUCUUUUCUUUUUUGAAGGCUGUGAGUAGCUAGUGAGUAGUAGGUAGGCGGUCACAUGAAGAUAAUUCUUUAACAGGUAAAAGACAAUUAUGAGUGGAUACUGCUUGUCCCCUCCGAAAUGAGAUAAUUCAUUAAAAACACAAAACAAAAACAAAAAUUAUACACACAUCACAUUAUACACGCGUCACAUUAUUGACAAGAAUAUAUAGACUCUAUUUAUAUAGUAAGGAGGAAAAUAUUUUUCAUUAUGGUAGCCUUUGACAUCAUAGUUCUAUUUAGGCUGCUGUGCAUUGCGUGAGCAAUUAAAAAAAGUGCCAAAGGGGUUCAGAAUGCAUGUGCCACCAUGCCAUUCAUGCACUCAAGUGAGGUUCUGAAAUUGUAUGAGAACAAUGCGUUUUGUAUGCUCCAAAUCAAAUGUAGCAUGAAAACAUUGUGUUUUGUAUUCACCAACCCAAAUAGCAUGAAAACAAUGUGCUACUGAACCAAAUAUUUUUGGAUUCUGAUUGAAUAUCUUGUAUGGGUAGCUUGGGCACAUUCACUAAUACGAGAUGCCAAAGUUCAAAUGAGUGAUAUGUAUGGGCCUCUCAACCGUCUUCAAUAGUCUAAAUUAUGAUAAAUGACAAUCAAACUUGCAUGGGAAUAGAAGCACUACUUUGAUCAAUGAGCCUCGCUCAUAUCUAUAAUCUACAAUUUAUUUUUUUAGGUAAUUACGAGGGAAUAACUCAUAAAAAUCCAUUGUAAAUUUGUUCAAUUUGUUAGAGGAAAAAAAAGGGACAAAAAAAAGGAGAGAGAUAUUUUUAAAAGAAUUCAAAAUGGACAAAAAUACCCUUAUUUAUUUAUGGAUUUCUUAAGAAAUCCUCUACAUGUGCAUGUCUUUGGUUUGAAAAUUGAGGAGUUUUUUUGUCUUUUUAAAAAAAAAAUUUAUUUUUUUCAAAAAUAAAAGAUUUUUUUGUGGCUAAAACCUAAAUUUAUUAAAAGGUUGAUAAAUCAGUUGCAAAGAUCUAUGAUCUUUUUGCAGGCUAUUCAAAGACAGAAACCAGUUUAGGCCCAAACUGACAGAUUGCUUCUCAGUGCUCAGUAGUCAGUAGUAAGCCACCAACCUUUCUAAAGUCCAGGCUCAACCCAAAAAUAUGAAUUAUACCAAGCCAUUAAUCAUGCACUCAAAUUACUCACCACACCCAUACCUUAAUCUAAAUAUUGGUUCAAAAACCUACCAUUGUCUAACAAAAAGCUUGUAGUUCAAGUGAUUAAGAGUAACUCCACCCAUUUGCCUUUAGCCAUGGCAAAGAGGGAGGUAGGGCAGUCACUAUUCACAUGAAUAGUGAUUGCCCUUGCAAAUAGUAUUUUGUGUUUCCACCUAUUGCCAUGGCUAAGGGCAAUUACUAUUCAUUUUUUUGUUUUUUCACAACUUUUUUUUACUUAAAUAAUUAAUUUGGAUAAUAUUUUCGGAUAAGAUUUUUGGGUUCCUACGUGUCAAUACUAUUCAUAUCGGAUAAGAUUUUAUUUUAUUAGUUGUAUUGGUUGGUAUUUAUAGAAAAAAAAAAGUAUGAGGAUUUUAUGUUAAAAGUGAAGAGUAUUGGUUGGUAUUUAUAGACACGGGCGGACCCAUAAUUUUUUUAGUGGAGGUGCAAUAUUGGCUAAGUAUGAAAAAUGGUUUUUCGGAAUAAUCAUUUUCUCAAGAUAAUUUUUGGCGGCUUUUAUUCCUUACACAUCAAAUAAGAAAACUUGAUUUUAUGGGAUUUUAAUAUGAAGUAUAUAUUGACUUAAUGAGCCAUCAUUUUUAGCCUAAAUUGUAUUUUGCACUAAAACCGAUUUUUCAUAUUUUGAUUUGGUGGGAAUUUGAUUUUCUAGUAUUUUUAUUUGAAUCCAAAUGGGGGGUACUUCCUUAUUUACAUUGUAAACUUAAGUAAAUGGAGUAAUAUAAAAAUAAAUGAAUGUAAACUUGUUGAAAAUGGAAAUAAGGUAUAGAGAGGAAAAUGUUGAGUAUAAAGAGUGAAUAAUGGUAGAAGUAAAAGAAAAUGUAAGAGGAUUGGUAUUGAAAGGUAUUUAUAGAAGAAAAAAUCUGACUUUUUAAGAAUUUUUUUUUAAAAAAAUUUAAUACUGGGCGAUGACGUCACGCUGACGCAAGCCGUGACGUCAUCAGCCUGGGUUUCGAAUGCGGGCUGAACUGGCCCUCGGGCCAGCCCGAGUUGGUGGGUCCCACACGCAACCCGGGCCUGGGCUCCCCGCUGGAACGAAUUUUUUUUUCGGCCCCCCCCCCAGCCUUGGGCUCGGUCUCUCCGGUGAAACCGCUCUAAGAGCAUUUAUCUCUACACUUGAGGUCCUAAGUUCGAUUUUCCUUCCCCAAUAAUGCUUGUAUCCAAAAAUUAAAAAAUUAAAAAAGUUUGGAUUAUACAAGAGGAGAAAUAACUACUGCCUUUAACAAACAAAACCUUUCCAACUCCAUCAUAUUAAUCCACUUGUACACCCGGAAUGGAUUACAGAUCCAGCAAGAAUGCUUUUUUAAGUCCUAAGAGAGAGCAAAUUACAAGGGGCGGAGCUUCUUAUUCCCACAAGUACUUUUGAUUAUUUAUUUUGGCCAAAGCCCCAAGGCAAAAGAAUUCUUGUGUACAACCAGUGAAUCCAACGUUCCUCCAACAAUAAUUCCCUCACAUGUCGUUCACGUGACAAAUUAUUACGAUACACAUUGUAUACACUGGUUGCAUGCAAAAAUUUCUUCCCAUACCUUAAAAUGGGGCACCAAACUGCUGGAGGACCUUCUUCCAAGAAGGUCUGUUGCUAAUAUCAUCCCACCAAGCAGAGACAUGCUUUCUGUCCUUUAUCAUAUACUCCUUCUCCAUACUAUUUGCCAAGUAGUAGGUGAAUGGAAGGUGGCUAAGAUCAGCAAGGCUGAAAAAAUCACCAGCCAAAUACUUGCUCUUCGACAGCCUCUCCUCGUAAACGUCCAACACCUUGCCAAGCUUUUCUUCACUCUCCUGAAUGAUCUUCGGGUCCGAAGGAAGACCCAAUUCUGGGGCAA
Molecule: long non-coding RNA, 9178 nt
Filed under: Prunus persica (peach)
Lineage: Eukaryota; Viridiplantae; Streptophyta; Magnoliopsida; Rosales; Rosaceae
Description: long non-coding RNA (PPER_LNC003767)
Source: RNAcentral